AAGACAUUAGUAAAGUGAAUUACACCACCUUGUCAAGGUGGAAUCGCGGGUUAAAACCCCGCAUGUCUUA
This 70-nucleotide transfer RNA is filed under the name Cabdio morar (aspidoparia). Its description in RNAcentral is "tRNA-Asp". It matches the Rfam family "tRNA". From Rfam's summary of the family: Transfer RNA (tRNA) molecules are approximately 80 nucleotides in length. Their secondary structure includes four short double-helical elements and three loops (D, anti-codon, and T loops). The record is from RNAcentral. Lineage: Eukaryota; Metazoa; Chordata; Actinopteri; Cypriniformes; Danionidae.